CUCAGUUCGGAUUGGAGUCUGNAACCCGACUCCAUGAAGCUGGAUUCGCUAGUAAUCGCGCAUCAGCCACGGCGCGGUGAAUACGUUCCCGGGCCUUGUACACACCGCCCGUCAAGCCAUGGAAGCCGGGAGUGCCUGAAGUACGCGACCGCAAGGAGCGUCCUAAGGUAAAACCGGUGACUGGGGCUAAGUCGUAACAAGGUAUC
This 206-nucleotide ribosomal RNA is filed under the name uncultured bacterium. RNAcentral's name for it is "partial 16S ribosomal RNA". It matches the Rfam family "Bacterial small subunit ribosomal RNA", at positions 1287 to 1500 of the family's 1533-position model. The record is from RNAcentral.